UGAUUUGCAGAAUUUUAAACAAUUUAUUUUUCCUUCUUGCAGAAGCAAAGCUUCCUAAAACAUACAACAGUUAUAUUUUAAAUACUAAUUCAACUUAUGCAGUACUUACACUCUGUAACUGAGAUCACUCACACGAAAAUAUUUUACAAAAUGCGUGGAACGUGCAAUACUGAGACUACUGAUAUCUGAAUAACGGAAAAGGAAGUACUUAGAGCAAGUUGCUGGUUGCAUACACGGUAUUGAAUCGACUAAACAAUAUAACCAAUAAGAUUUUAACUUCUUUUUAUUCCUUAAUACCGUCAAGUCAACCUUGUUAAAAAUGCCAUUAAUCAUCAAGUGGUGGAUGUGGAGUGUGACGGUUAUUUGCUCCUGAUCCCGGAUAGUCGCCUCUUUCUAUAUCCAUCCUGCGAUUAAUCAACUCUCCAUCGAUUUCUAUGGUUUCUUCAACAUUUUGUUCUGUUGUGAUCUUCUUCAUUGAUGAAAAGACAAAAUAAAAUAAAUAAAUAAGUAAAACAGAAUUUAUAAAAAGACAUCAGUAUUAUAUAAUAGAAGUUAGCUAUAUGUUUUAUGGUUAAAAGUUCAACUUUAUGUAACAUACCUGGAAAGUAUUCCCAGGUAUUGGAAUAUCCUUUCUUUCUUGUAACAGGAGGAUAGUUCCUGUAAAUACCAACAAAUUAAGUUCAGCGAAAAAACGGAUUAGUAAGCAAAAAAAGCACACAUACCCCAGCAUGUAUUUAAGUUGGAUUGGCCAAUGUAAGAUAGAAAAACGAAUAUAACAAGUUGAAAUCUUGUCUUCUUUCCAGUACAAACAUUUAACUUAGGCUAUGAGAAUAGAAGAUUUACUCGAUGUCGGGACAGCAUUCAAAGAAAUAAGGCAAGAUAAAGCCAGUAAAGUCACAAGUAGAUGAAGUGCAUUGCCUGCCAUUUUCU
Molecule: long non-coding RNA, 930 nt
Filed under: Olea europaea (common olive)
Lineage: Eukaryota; Viridiplantae; Streptophyta; Magnoliopsida; Lamiales; Oleaceae
Description: long non-coding RNA (OEUR_LNC010722)
Source: RNAcentral